UACGGAGGGGGCUAGCGUUGUUCGGAAUUACUGGGCGUAAAGCGCACGUAGGCGGCUUUGUAAGUUAGAGGUGAAAGCCCAGGGCUUAACCCUGGAAUUGCCUUUAAGACUGCAUCGCUAGAAUCGUGGAGAGGUAAGUGGAAUUCCGAGUGUAGAGGUGAAAUUCGUAGAUAUUCGGAAGAACACCAGUGGCGAAGGCGACUUACUGGACACGUAUUGACGCUGAGGUGCGAAAGCGUGGGGAGCAAACGGG
Molecule: ribosomal RNA, 253 nt
Filed under: uncultured bacterium
Lineage: Bacteria
Description: partial 16S ribosomal RNA
Rfam family: Bacterial small subunit ribosomal RNA
Source: RNAcentral